AGGACAUGGGGGGUCGACAUUAAGCAACAAUGACUUUAAAGCAUCAAGUUUGAUACCAUAUCAUGCGAACGCCAACAAAUAAUUCAACACAGGCCAACAGGAUACUAUAGAACAUAACCAAGCAUUUCUCUAACCUACAACCAUUCUCAAACCAAUCUGAUAGCUAAGCAGAAGAAUCAGAUCACUUAAAGCUUCAGUCUCAUAUCAUAAUACCCCAUUCAUGACAAAUAUACUAAUCAAAUAUCUCUGGAGCUAAAUAUUACAUCCAUAGAUGAGACUGAAAGGAGAAGAAAUGAAAUUCAGUAACGAUAACGUCAGUUUAUCAUAUUUCCAAAUUCAAACUCCAUAUUACACUUUAGGUGAUGUCCAUAGCGCCAAAGAAAUACCUGGAAGUAAAGAUGAAAUGAAAGGGUGAGGAUUUCAGUAGUAACAACAACAGAAUUGAGUUCAGAUCCAAGGAAAUAGUGCCACAAAGCAGUUCCAAAUCGUGAAAUGCAACCCAGAAUACCAAAGAUCCAAUUUCGGAUUCACAGUUAAGCCAACAAACUCAACAUCCAAGAUAAAUGACUGACACUCAAACUGUUUCAAAAUCCAAAUAGUUAAGAAAUUGAUUAAAGGACAGAAAAGUUGCAGAUUAGCAAAUUCAAACUUAAUAGAACAGUGCUAAAGUUUUCAGCUGUUUUCAAAUUUUUUUUCCUUUUUUUCCGAUCCCCCCUGUAUCUAUGUGUGUUCCCAGUUAUAUACCUCAUCAUCUAGCCUUUUCCAGCUCCUCUUUUUUCUUUAAAAUUGUAUUCUUUCAGCUUUUGAAAAUAUCCCCCAUGUUAGCCUACUUUCCAACUCUAAAAAGGGCAUUAAGCUAACCAUUGUCAGUCUCCUUUUCAUUUUUAAUUCACUUCACUAAUUUAGUGCUUUUAAUUAAUUCAAUAAUGCAAUUUCUACCCUACCACUACUUCCUAGGUUAGGUAAACAAUCUUCUUUUAUUGAAUAAUUCCCACACUAACCCUUUAAGUUCAUAAUUAUUCAAUUAGAAUCUCUGAAAGUUAUAAAUAUUUACAUAAUGGCUAGGCAACAAAACCAAAGGGCAUUAGUUUCUGAAAUCUAAAUAGGUUUAGCAUUGAAACAGAUUCAGAAAUAACCCCUCAUAUGAACAAUCUGAAUUGACAUUAGCAAGAAACGACCAUUGAAGAGCCUAUUUGAGAUUCGACCUUUGACAUUUUUAACACAAUCAUCUUAACAAGGAAUCAAAACAUCACGAGGAUAUUAAUAUGUUGCCUAUUAGAAUAGUAUAAACCCAAAUUGAAAAUUGAGAACCUACUGAUUCAAUGGAAAAUUUACGAACUUAAAUAACUAAAACAGAAGCUGGAUACAAACCUAAAACUAGACAGAGUAGAGAGACCAAAAUUAGGGCACAAUCCUCCUUUUUUAUUUUAGGAAUUAAAAUAAAAGUUAAAAUGGACAGAAAUGACUGAACGGACAAAUUAACCUAAUAGGAAGAACCUAUUAUAAUUUCAAUUCAAAGUCAGACCAUUAAAAUACACAAAGUAGAAAAGAAGAAGAUAUAGAGAUGAAAUAGACAUUGAAAAUAAAAGAAAUGCUACAGGGAAACUCACCGACUAAACUCAAAAUUAAAAUCUUAUAACUUGAUUCAUACAAAACUGAUACCAAUCACUUUUUUUUCUGUCGAGAAAGAGCGAAUGGCAUCAAUUUUGUAACGAAUCAGCCUUCCCGAGUCGAUGCAUGCCACCAGUUUUGACAGUAUCGAGUUGUGAGUUUUUAGAGCAUAAAUUUGGAUCUAAUAUUCGAGGAGUUCUAGAAAGAUUCGAAGGAAAGCAUUCUGGGAUUUGUAAGAAGGGGGUCAAGGUGGUCAUAUGGUGUUAUUUUGGGGUUGAUUGGGUAAACUAGGGUUCGGGUCCGAUCUUCGAUCUGAAACUCGAGGGAUUUGGCUAAGAUUCGAAGGCAAUGGCUUGGGGAUUUGAGAUGAUGAGGUGAAGGAGAAUUAAUGGUGUUAAUUUGGGGUUGUUUGGGCCACCGGAACCGCCGUGAGGUGAUUUCUGGUGGGCGGAAGAGGGCGGUGUGCGGUGGUGUAUGUUCUUGGUCUCUGAAGAGACGAGUGGGGGGGG
RNAcentral lists this long non-coding RNA (2120 nucleotides) under Nicotiana tabacum (common tobacco). Its description in RNAcentral is "long non-coding RNA (NTAB_LNC008634)". Lineage: Eukaryota; Viridiplantae; Streptophyta; Magnoliopsida; Solanales; Solanaceae. The record is from RNAcentral.